RNAcentral lists this ribosomal RNA (449 nucleotides) under uncultured bacterium. Its description in RNAcentral is "partial 16S ribosomal RNA". It matches the Rfam family "Bacterial small subunit ribosomal RNA", at positions 29 to 523 of the family's 1533-position model. The record is from RNAcentral.
AACGAACGCUGGCGGCAUGCCUAACACAUGCAAGUCGAACGAGAUCUUCGGGUCUAGUGGCGCACGGGUGCGUAACGCGUGGGAAUCUGCCCUUUGGUUCGGGAUAACAGUUGGAAACGACUGCUAAUACCGGAUGAUGACGAAAGUCCAAAGAUUUAUCGCCAGAGGAUGAGCCCGCGUAGGAUUAGCUAGUUGGUGUGGUAAAGGCGCACCAAGGCGACGAUCCUUAGCUGGUCUGAGAGGAUGAUCAGCCACACUGGGACUGAGACACGGACCAGACUCCUACGGGGGGCAGCAGUGGGGAAUAUUGGACAAUGGGCGAAAGCCUGAUCCAGCAAUGCCGCGUGAGUGAUGAAGGCCUUAGGGUUGUAAAGCUCUUUUACCCGGGAUGAUAAUGACAGUACCGGGAGAAUAAGCUCCGGCUAACUCCGUGCCAGCCGCCGCCGUAA